Molecule: ribosomal RNA, 494 nt
Filed under: uncultured bacterium
Lineage: Bacteria
Description: partial 16S ribosomal RNA
Rfam family: Bacterial small subunit ribosomal RNA
Source: RNAcentral
GACGAACGCUGGCGGCGUGCCUAAUACAUGCAAGUAGAACGCUGAAGGAGGACCUUGCUUCUCUGGAUGAGUUGCGAACGGGUGAGUAACGCGUAGGUAACCUGCCUGGUAGCGGGGGAUAACUAUUGGAAACGAUAGCUAAUACCGCAUAAGAGUAGAUGUUGCAUGACAUUUGCUUAAAAGGUUCAAUUGCAUCACUACCAGAUGGACCUGCGUUGUAUUAGCUAGUUGGUGGGGUAACGGCUCACCAAGGCGACGAUACAUAGCCGACCUGAGAGGGUGAUCGGCCACACUGGGACGGAGACACGGACCAGACUCCUACGGGAGGCAGCAGUAGGGAAUCUUCGGCAAUGGACGGAAGUCUGACCGAGCAACGCCGCGUGAGUGAAGAAGGUGUUCGGAUCGUAAAGCUCUGUUGUAAGAGAAGAACGAGUGUGAGAGUGGAAAGUGCACACUGGGACGGUAUCGUACAAGAAAGGGACGGCUAACUCCGU